Molecule: ribosomal RNA, 1398 nt
Filed under: uncultured bacterium
Lineage: Bacteria
Description: bacterial SSU rRNA
Rfam family: Bacterial small subunit ribosomal RNA
Source: RNAcentral
AGAGUUUGAUCCUGGCUCAGGAUGAACGCUAGCGGCAGGCUUAACACAUGCAAGUCGAGGGGCAGCAUAAUGGAUAGCAAUAUCUAUGGUGGCGACCGGCGCACGGGUGCGUAACGCGUAUGCAACCUACCUUUAACAGGGGGAUAACACUGAGAAAUUGGUACUAAUACCCCAUAAUAUCAUAGAAGGCAUCUUUUAUGGUUGAAAAUUCCGAUGGUUAGAGAUGGGCAUGCGUUGUAUUAGCUAGUUGGUGGGGUAACGGCUCACCAAGGCGACGAUACAUAGGGGGACUGAGAGGUUAACCCCCCACACUGGUACUGAGACACGGACCAGACUCCUACGGGAGGCAGCAGUGAGGAAUAUUGGUCAAUGGACGCAAGUCUGAACCAGCCAUGCCGCGUGCAGGAUGACGGCUCUAUGAGUUGUAAACUGCUUUUGUACGAGGGUAAACGCAGAUACGUGUAUCUGUCUGAAAGUAUCGUACGAAUAAGGAUCGGCUAACUCCGUGCCAGCAGCCGCGGUAAUACGGAGGAUUCAAGCGUUAUCCGGAUUUAUUGGGUUUAAAGGGUGCGUAGGCGGUUUGAUAAGUUAGAGGUGAAAUUUCGGGGCUCAACCCUGAACGUGCCUCUAAUACUGUUGAGCUAGAGAGUAGUUGCGGUAGGCGGAAUGUAUGGUGUAGCGGUGAAAUGCUUAGAGAUCAUACAGAACACCGAUUGCGAAGGCAGCUUACCAAACUAUAUCUGACGUUGAGGCACGAAAGCGUGGGGAGCAAACAGGAUUAGAUACCCUGGUAGUCCACGCAGUAAACGAUGAUAACUCGUUGUCGGCGAUACACAGUCGGUGACUAAGCGAAAGCGAUAAGUUAUCCACCUGGGGAGUACGUUCGCAAGAAUGAAACUCAAAGGAAUUGACGGGGGCCCGCACAAGCAGCGGAGCAUGUGGUUUAAUUCGACGCAACGCGAAGAACCUUACCAGGUCUUGACAUCCACUUAAACUUACAGAGAUGUAAGGUGUGCUUGCACAAAGUGAGACAGGUGGUGCAUGGUUGUCGUCAGCUCGUGUCGUGAGAUGUUGGGUUAAGUCCCGCAACGAGCGCAACCCUUAUCUUCAGUUACUAACGCGUAGAGGUGAGGACUCUGAAGAGACUGCCGGGGACAACUCGGAGGAAGGUGGGGACGACGUCAAAUCAUCAUGCCCCUUAUGACCUGGGCUACACACGUGCUACAAUGGCCACGACAGAGAGAAGCGAAAUCGCAAGGUAGAGCGGAACUCAAAAAAGUGGUCCCAGUUCGGAUUGUGGGCUGCAACCCGCCCACAUGAAGUCGGAGUUGCUAGUAAUCGCGGAUCAGCAUGCCGCGGUGAAUACGUUCCCGGGCCUUGUACACACCGCCCGUCAAG